GAUGAAGAACGCAGCGAAAUGCGAUAAGUAGUGUGAAUUGCAGAAUUCAGUGAAUCAUCGAAUCUUUGAACGCACAUUGCGGCCAUAGGUAUUCCUUUGGCCAUGCCUGUUCGAGCGUCAUUUACACCCUCAAGCCUAGCUUGGUGUUGGGCGCCUGUCCCGCCGUUUUCGCGCGCGGACUCGCCUCAAGUCAUUGGCGGCGGUCGUGCCGGCCCCCUCGCGCAGCACAUUUGCGCUUCUCGGAGGCCCGGCGGAUCCGCGCUCCAGCAAGACCUUUCACGACUUGACCUCGGAUCAGGUAGGGAUACCCGCUGAACUUAAGCAUAUCAAUAAGCGGAGGA
Molecule: unclassified non-coding RNA, 341 nt
Filed under: soil metagenome
Description: partial contains 5.8S ribosomal RNA, internal transcribed spacer 2, and large subunit ribosomal RNA
Rfam family: 5.8S ribosomal RNA (bases 1-120)
Source: RNAcentral